GCAGAGUUCUCAUGACCUAAUCACCUCUUAAAGGUCCCAGCUCUCAACACUGUUGCAUUGGGGAUUAAGUUUCCAAGGCAUCAACUUUAGGGGACGCAUUUAAACCAUAGCAUGUGAGUACUUAACAUCCUACAGGCUCAACUCUGCCUCAGGAGUCUCCUUCCCAGGGAGUGCACCUUGAGACACUUAAGUGAGUUCAUUUGUCUCCCGGAGCCUGGCUUCCUUCACCUGUUGAGUAGGAGUGAUGACGGCCCGCUGGAGGCUCGUUCUGCACAUUCAGUGAGAUGCUGUAUGCUCCAGAAGUAAUACAAAAUUCACUCUCAGGCUGUUCAUUGGAGAAAAAUGUAAAAAUACAGAUAAAUGCACAUGAAAACAAAAAGGU
This 382-nucleotide long non-coding RNA is filed under the name Homo sapiens (human). Its description in RNAcentral is "HSALNT0281752". The record is from RNAcentral. Lineage: Eukaryota; Metazoa; Chordata; Mammalia; Primates; Hominidae.